CAUCAGUGUCUCUACUCCUUCCAUUCUUUUCUGGACACUUAUUCCAGGACAGACUUGAAUACGCCACAUUUGCAAGUUGACCACAUAAACACUGGCCUUUUCUGGAGACUACCGGAACCUUCUUGAAGCUUGACACCUGCAGUCACCCUCUGAGACCAGCAAGUAGGGUGCUUAAGGAAAUGAACCGCCCUGGAGGAAAGAUGGAGCCACUCAUCUGCUUUGGAGUUCCUUCUUCAGGAUCCAAGAUGGACAGUCUAAAGGAGGUGCCUCAUCAGCCAUCAGCUCCCUCAAGUUGACCUGCAGCUUCCUUUGUUAUGUGCCACCUUCUGCCCUGUGCAGGAGCAACUGAUGCUGUCUAUCUUUCAGAUCAUUCAGAGCAUAAGGAUGGGGAUGUGAGGAGGCCCAGACAUCUGGCUCUGUGCCCUCCCACCGGAGAGGGGAAGAGCUCGCAGGCCUUUGGCAGGUACCUGUGGGAAGCAAACCAGUCACACAGAAGAGAAAGAAGGGUCCCCUAUUGUUCCUGGUCACUUCAGCGAGGGAGUCAGAUCAGAUUGCCUUCUCACAGGACCUCUCAGUGCAUCCGUGUCUCCGAGCAGAAAGGACACUCUGCUUUUCUGUUGGCCGGAUUGUUAGCCAAGCGGGUCAUCUGCAGCAGCACUGUCUGUCUGGUUCCCUCCCUGAGUUUCACUAAUGUGUGCAUGUGGCCCCUGAAUGACCACUGGUUUUCUGUCUACUGAUAAAAUCUCUUCUCUGUCAGAAAUUGGUUUUACAAAUAAAUGUCUUCAUUCAAGCUUA
Molecule: long non-coding RNA, 795 nt
Organism: Chinchilla lanigera (long-tailed chinchilla)
Lineage: Eukaryota; Metazoa; Chordata; Mammalia; Rodentia; Chinchillidae
Exons: 2
Source: RefSeq, a predicted model, not a curated record